GAAAUUCUAAUAAAUUUUCAUUACAUUGAACUUUGGCAUAAGGCCAUUACAUAUACCAGACAAUGGCUGGUCUAAAUUAACAAAUACAUCACCUAAACAUUACCUAACUCCACUUAAUUCAUUGGAAAUAGGUGAAAUUGACUUGUACACUUAGACAAAGCUGGUAAUCAGUUCUUUCACCAUCUAGUUACAUCAAAUGUCAUCCAAACAUAGUUCAAAAUGAACUAAAUUAUAAAACAUUAUUAAAGGUAACAAAAUGAAACCGAGAUAAAACAGUAGCAUUGAUAUCCUCAAUUGCAUAUAUUUCAUCUGGCAAUACUGCAGCAGCUACUUCAUAUUUCAUCCACAAGACUUAUGUGCAUGAAUUCUUCUUGGUUGCAUGAGCUGCAUAGAGGGCCAU
This 400-nucleotide long non-coding RNA is filed under the name Gossypium barbadense (sea-island cotton). Its description in RNAcentral is "long non-coding RNA (GBAR_LNC001885)". Lineage: Eukaryota; Viridiplantae; Streptophyta; Magnoliopsida; Malvales; Malvaceae. The record is from RNAcentral.